AGUGAACGCUGGCGGUAGGCCUAACACAUGCAAGUCGAACGGCAGCACAGUAAGAGCUUGCUCUUACGGGUGGCGAGUGGCGGACGGGUGAGGAAUACAUCGGAAUCUACUUUUUCGUGGGGGAUAACGUAGGGAAACUUACGCUAAUACCGCAUACGACCUACGGGUGAAAGCAGGGGAUCUUCGGACCUUGCGCGAUUGAAUGAGCCGAUAUCGGAUUAGCUAGUUGGCGGGGUAAAGGCCCACCAAGGCGACGAUCCGUAGCUGGUCUGAGAGGAUGAUCAGCCACACUGGAACUGAGACACGGUCCAGACUCCUACGGGAGGCAGCAGUGGGGAAUAUUGGACAAAGGGCGCAAGCCUGAUCCAGCCAUACCGCGUGGGUGAAGAAGGCCUUCGGGUUGUAAAGCCCUUUUGUUGGGAAAGAAAAGCAGCAGGUUAAUACCCCGCUGUUCUGACGGUACCCAAAGAAUAAGCACCGGCUAACUUCGUG
This 492-nucleotide ribosomal RNA is filed under the name uncultured bacterium. Its description in RNAcentral is "partial 16S ribosomal RNA". It matches the Rfam family "Bacterial small subunit ribosomal RNA", at positions 29 to 507 of the family's 1533-position model. The record is from RNAcentral.